AGAGUUUGAUCCUGGCUCAGAGUUAACGCUGGCGGCGUGCCUAACACAUGCAAGUCGAACGAUGGUCUGUAUGACAUAGUGGCAGACGGGUGAGUAACACGUAAGUAAUCUACCCUUGAACGGAGGACAACCUGGCGAAAGUCAGGCUAAUACUCCAUACGAUCUCUUUGAGGCAUCUUAGAGAGAUGAAAGGUUUCGGCCGAUCAAGGAGGAACUUGCGAUUUAUCAGCUAGUUGGUAGGGUAAUUGCCUACCAAGGCUAUGACGAAUAGCCGGUCUAAAAGGAUGACCGGCCACAAGGACACUGAGACACGGGUCCUACUCCUACGGGAGGCAGCAGUGGGGAAUUUUGGACAAUGGACGAAAGUCUGAUCCAGCGACGCCGCGUGAAGGAUGAAGGUUUUCGGAUCGUAAACUUCUUUUAUAGGGGACGAAUGGGCGCAAGCUCUUGACGGUACCCUAUGAAUAAGCCACGGCUAACUACGUGCCAGCAGCCGCGGUAAUACGUAGGUGGCGAGCGUUACUCGGAAUUACUAGGCGUAAAGCGUAUGUAGGCGGAUAUUUAAGUCUGUUGUUAAAUCCCACGGCUCAACCGUGGACUGUCAACGGAUACUGGGUAUCUUGAGUUGGGUAGAGGAAAUCGGAAUUCCUAGUGUAGCAGUGAAAUGCGUAGAUAUUAGGAAGAACGCCAAAGGCGAAGGCAGAUUUCUGGGCCUUUACUGACGCUGAGACACGAAAGCUAGGGUAGCAAACAGGAUUAGAUACCCUGGUAGUCCUAGCUGUAAACGAUGUAGACUAGGUGUGGGAGGUAUCGACCCCCUCCGUGCCGACGCUAACGCAUUAAGUCUACCGCCUGGGGAGUACGGCCGCAAGGUUAAAACUCAAAGGAAUUGACGGGGGCCCGCACAAGCGGUGGAUCAUGUGGUUUAAUUCGACGCUACGCGAAGAACCUUACCUGGGCUCGAACGACUAGUAGUACCCCUGGUGAAAACUAGGGGGAUCCGCAAGGAAGCUAGCCGAGGUGCUGCAUGGUUGUCGUCAGCUCGUGUCGUGAGAUGUUGGGUUAAGUCCCGCAACGAGCGCAACCCCUGUCCUGUGUUGCUACUCCGCAAGGAGAGGACUCUCAGGAGACUGCCGUGGACAACACGGAGGAAGGUGGGGACGACGUCAAAUCAUCAUGGCCUUUAUGUCCAGGGCUACACACGUGAUACAAUGGCGCAGACAGAAGGUAGCAAUAUCGCAAGAUGGAGCCAAUCCUCAAACUGCCCCUCAGUUCGGAUUGUGGGCUGCAAUUUGCCCACAUGAAGCUGGAAUCGCUAAUAAUCGCAGAUCAGCAGGCUGCGGUGAAUACGUUCCCGGGCCUUGUACACACCGCCCGUCACACCACGAAAGUUGGUUGCAACAGAAGUGCCUGGAAUACGCCAGGUCCCAAGUUGUGAUUGGCAAUUGGGGUGAAGUCGUAACAAGGUAACCA
This 1473-nucleotide ribosomal RNA is filed under the name uncultured prokaryote. RNAcentral describes it as "partial 16S ribosomal RNA". It matches the Rfam family "Bacterial small subunit ribosomal RNA". The record is from RNAcentral.